UACGUAGGGGGCAAGCGUUGUCCGGAAUCAUUGGGCGUAAAGCGCGUGUAGGCGGCCCGGUAAGUCCGCUGUGAAAGUCGGGGGCUCAACCCUCGAAUGCCGGUGGAUACUGUCGGGCUAGAGUGCGGAAGAGGCGAGUGGAAUUCCUGGUGUAGCGGUGAAAUGCGCAGAUAUCAGGAGGAACACCAAUUGCGAAGGCGGCUCACUGGUCCGGUACUGACGCUGAGGUGCGAAAGCGUGGGGAGCAAACAGG
This 253-nucleotide ribosomal RNA is filed under the name uncultured bacterium. RNAcentral's name for it is "partial 16S ribosomal RNA". It matches the Rfam family "Bacterial small subunit ribosomal RNA", at positions 524 to 776 of the family's 1533-position model. The record is from RNAcentral.